CAGUCGCCGCGGUAAUACGGAGGGGGCUAGCGUUGUUCGGAAUUACUGGGCGUAAAGCGCACGUAGGCGGCUUGGUAAGUUAGAGGUGAAAGCCCGGAGCUCAACUCCGGAAUUGCCUUUAAGACUGCCGAGCUAGUAGGUGAGAGAGGUAAGUGGAAUUCCGAGUGUAGAGGUGAAAUUCGUAGAUAUUCGGAAGAACACCAGUGGCGAAGGCGGCUUACUGGCUCAUUCUAGACGCUGAGGUGCGAAAGCGUGGGGAGCAAACAGGAUUAGAUACCCGUGUAGUCCCUGUCUCUUAUAC
RNAcentral lists this ribosomal RNA (301 nucleotides) under uncultured bacterium. RNAcentral describes it as "partial 16S ribosomal RNA". It matches the Rfam family "Bacterial small subunit ribosomal RNA", at positions 509 to 807 of the family's 1533-position model. The record is from RNAcentral.